This is a small nucleolar RNA of Acomys russatus (golden spiny mouse), 137 nucleotides long. RefSeq annotates it as small nucleolar RNA SNORA70. The transcript has a single exon. The record is from RefSeq and is a predicted model, not a curated record. Lineage: Eukaryota; Metazoa; Chordata; Mammalia; Rodentia; Muridae.
UUGCAGCUAAUUAAGCCUACCAAGUCCCUUUCCCCACAGGGACUUGGUAUGCGUUGAUUGCAAAUAGCAGCCUCCUUGGUAUAGUGUCUGCAGCCUGUUGUCUGUAUGGGUUGCCCCAAAGGACUUUGGAGACAACU